Molecule: long non-coding RNA, 645 nt
Organism: Oncorhynchus keta (chum salmon)
Lineage: Eukaryota; Metazoa; Chordata; Actinopteri; Salmoniformes; Salmonidae
Exons: 4
Source: RefSeq, a predicted model, not a curated record
GAGCAGAGGCAGGUUGUUGUAGUAACGGAAACUCUGGUGGUGGAGGUGAGUACAGGGUCUGUGGGGAACGGUAAGCAUGCUGAGGAGGUGAGUACAGGGUCUGUGGGGAACGGUAAGCAUGCUGAGGAGGUGAGUACAGGGUCUGUGGGGAACGGUAAGCAUGCUGAGGAGGUGAGUACAGGGUCUGUGGGGAACGGUAAGCAUGCUGAGGAGGUGAGUACAGGGUCUGUGGGGAACGGUAAGCAUGCUGAGGAGGUGAGUACAGGGUCUGUGGGGAACGGUAAGCAUGCUGAGGAGGUGAGUACAGGGUCUGUGGGGAACGGUAAGCAUGCUGAGGAGGUGAGUACAGGGUCUGUGGGGAACGGUAAGCAUGCUGAGGAGGUGAGUACAGGGUCUGUGGGGAACGGUAAGCAUGCUGAGGAGGUGAGUACAGGGUCUGUGGGGAACGGUAAGCAUGCCGAGGAGGUGAGUACAGGGUCUGUGGGGAACGGUGAGGAGGUGAGUACAGGGUCUGUGGGGAACGGUAAGCAUGCUGAGGAGGUGAGUACAGGGUCUGUGGGGAACGGUAAGCAUGCUGAGGAGGUGAGUACAGGGUCUGUGGGGAACGGUAAGCAUGCCGAGGAGGUGAGUACAGGGUCUGUGGGA